AGAGUUUGAUCAUGGCUCAGAAUGAACGCUGGCGGCGUGCUUAACACAUGCAAGUCGAACGGUAACAGGAAGUACUUGUACUUCGCUGACGAGUGGCGCACGGGUGAGUAAUAUAUAGGUUACGUGCCUCUUAGACUGGGAUAGCCACUGGAAACGGUGAUUAAUACUAGAUACUCCUACUUGUAGGGAAAGCUUUUGCGCUAAGAGAUCGGCCUAUACUGUAUCAGCUUGUUGGUGAGGUAAUGGCUCACCAAGGCGAUGACACAUAGCGGGUUUGAGAGGAUGAUCCGCCACACUGGUACUGAGACACGGACCAGACUCCUACGGGAGGCAGCAGUGAGGAAUAUUGCACAAUGGGCGAAAGCCUGAUGCAGCAACGCCGCGUGGAGGAUGACGCAUUUCGGUGUGUAAACUCCUUUUAUCAGAGAAGAAAAUGACGGUAUCUGAUGAAUAAGCUCCGGCUAACUCCGUGCCAGCAGCCGCGGUAACACGGAGGGAGCAAGCGUUAUUCGGAAUCACUGGGCGUAAAGGACGCGUAGGCGGGUUAUUAAGUCAGAUGUGAAAUCCUAUGGCUCAACCAUAGAACUGCAUUUGAAACUGGUAACCUAGAGUAUGGAAGGGGAAAAUGGAAUUAGUGGUGUAGGGGUAAAAUCCGUAGAUAUCACUAGGAAUACCGAAAGCGAAGGCGAUUUUCUGGGACAUUACUGACGCUGAGGCGUGAAAGCGUGGGGAGCAAACAGGAUUAGAUACCCUGGUAGUCCACGCCCUAAACGAUGAAUGCUAGUCGUCGGAGAGCUCGUCUCUUCGGUGAUGCACUUAACAGAUUAAGCAUUCCGCCUGGGGAGUACGGUCGCAAGAUUAAAACUCAAAGGAAUAGACGGGGACCCGCACAAGUGGUGGAGCAUGUGGUUUAAUUUCGAAGAUACGCGAAGAACCUUACCUGGGCCUUGACAUUGAUUGAAUCACUCAGAGAUGAGAGAGUGCCCUUCGGGGAACAUGAAAAACAGGUGCCUGCACGCCUGUUGUUCAGCUCGUGAUCGUGAGAUGUUGGGUUAAGGUCCCGCCAAAGAGAGGCGCCAACUCCUUCUCGU
Molecule: ribosomal RNA, 1091 nt
Filed under: uncultured Campylobacterota bacterium
Lineage: Bacteria; Pseudomonadati; Campylobacterota
Description: bacterial SSU rRNA
Rfam family: Bacterial small subunit ribosomal RNA
Source: RNAcentral